CUAAGCCAUGCGAGUCAUUGUAGCAAUACAAGGCAGACGGCUCAGUAACGCGUAGUCAACCUAACCUAUGGACGGGAAUAACCUCGGGAAACUGAGAAUAAUGCCCGAUAGAACACUAUACCUGGAAUGGUUUGUGUUCCAAAUGAUUUAUCGCCGUAGGAUGGGACUGCGGCCUAUCAGUUUGUUGGUGAGGUAAUGGCCCACCAAGACUAUUACAGGUACGGGCUCUGAGAGGAGUAGCCCGGAGAUGGGUACUGAGACACGGACCCAGGCCCUAUGGGGCGCAGCAGGCGAGAAAACUUUGCAAUGUGCGAAAGCACGACAAGGUUAAUCCGAGUGAUUUGUGCUAAACGAAUCUUUUGUUAGUCCUAGAACCACUAACGAAUAAGGGGUGGGCAAGUUCUGGUGUCAGCCGCCGCGGUAAAACCAGCACCUCAAGUGGUCAGGAUGAUUAUUGGGCCUAAAGCAUCCGUAGCCGGCUCUGUAAGUUUUCGGUUAAAUCUGUACGCUUAACGUACAGGCUGCCGGGAAUACUGCAGAGCUAGGGAGUGGGAGAGGUAGACGGUACUCGGUAGGAAGGGGUAAAAUCCUUUGAUCUAUUGAUGACCACCUGUGGCGAAGGCGGUCUACCAGAACACGUCCGACGGUGAGGGAUGAAAGCUGGGGGAGCAAACCGGAUUAGAUACCCGGGUAGUCCCAGCUGUAAACUAUGCAAACUCAGUGAUGCAUUGACUUGUGGUCAAUGCAGUGCUGCAGGGAAGCCGUUAAGUUUGCCGCCCGGGAAGUACGUACGCAAGUAUGAAACUUAAAGGAAUUGGCGGGGGAGCACCACAAGGGGUGAAGCCUGCGGUUCAAUUGGAGUCAACGCCGGAAAUCACU
This 879-nucleotide ribosomal RNA is filed under the name uncultured crenarchaeote. Its description in RNAcentral is "bacterial SSU rRNA". It matches the Rfam family "Archaeal small subunit ribosomal RNA", at positions 44 to 929 of the family's 1478-position model. The record is from RNAcentral. Lineage: Archaea; Thermoproteati; Thermoproteota.